AUGAACGCUGGCGGCGUGCCUAAUACAUGCAAGUCGAGCGAACAGACGAGGAGCUUGCUCCUCUGACGUUAGCGGCGGACGGGUGAGUAACACGUGGAUAACCUACCUAUAAGACUGGGAUAACUUCGGGAAACCGGAGCUAAUACCGGAUAAUAUAUUGAACCGCAUGGUUCAAUAGUGAAAGACGGUUUUGCUGUCACUUAUAGAUGGAUCCGCGCCGCAUUAGCUAGUUGGUAAGGUAACGGCUUACCAAGGCAACGAUGCGUAGCCGACCUGAGAGGGUGAUCGGCCACACUGGAACUGAGACACGGUCCAGACUCCUACGGGAGGCAGCAGUAGGGAAUCUUCCGCAAUGGGCGAAAGCUUGACGGAGCAACGCCGCGUGAGUGAUGAAGGUCUUCGGAUCGUAAAACUCUGUUAUUAGGGAAGAACAAAUGUGUAAGUAGCUAUGCACGUCUUGACGGUACCUAAUCAGAAAGCCACGGCUAACUACGUG
Molecule: ribosomal RNA, 496 nt
Filed under: uncultured bacterium
Lineage: Bacteria
Description: partial 16S ribosomal RNA
Rfam family: Bacterial small subunit ribosomal RNA
Source: RNAcentral